ACGUGAUCUGAGUUCAGACCGGAGUAAUCCAGGUCAGUUUCUAUCUAUAAAGAGCUUUUUUUAGUACGAAAGGACCAAAAAAGCAUGGCCAAUGCUUAUAGUAAGCCAUAAACUAUAAUUUAUGAUUUUAACUUAAUAAAUAAACAGCCUUUUACACCCUCCAAGAAAAGGAA
This 173-nucleotide ribosomal RNA is filed under the name Dendropsophus nanus (dwarf treefrog). RNAcentral's name for it is "partial 16S ribosomal RNA". The record is from RNAcentral. Lineage: Eukaryota; Metazoa; Chordata; Amphibia; Anura; Hylidae.